GGGAACAUACCCUUUUCUACGGAAUAGCUCUGGGAAACUGGAAUUAAUACCGUAUGCGCCCUACGGGGGAAAGAUUUAUCGGGGAAGGAUUGGCCCGCGUUGGAUUAGCUAGUUGGUGGGGUAAAGGCCUACCAAGGCGACGAUCCAUAGCUGGUCUGAGAGGAUGAUCAGCCACAUUGGGACUGAGACACGGCCCAAACUCCUACGGGAGGCAGCAGUGGGGAAUAUUGGACAAUGGGCGCAAGCCUGAUCCAGCCAUGCCGCGUGAGUGAUGAAGGCCUUAGGGUUGUAAAGCUCUUUCACCGAUGAAGAUGAUGACGGUAGUCGGAGAAGAAGCCCCGGCUAACUUCGUGCCAGCAGCCGCGGUAAUACGAAGGGGGCUAGCGUUGUUCGGAAUUACUGGGCGUAAAGCGCACGUAGGCGGAUAUUUAAGUCAGGGGUGAAAUCCCAGAGCUCAACUCUGGAACUGCCUUUGAUACUGGGUAUCUUGAGUAUGGAAGAGGUAAGUGGAAUUGCGAGU
RNAcentral lists this ribosomal RNA (520 nucleotides) under uncultured bacterium. Its description in RNAcentral is "bacterial SSU rRNA". It matches the Rfam family "Bacterial small subunit ribosomal RNA", at positions 120 to 674 of the family's 1533-position model. The record is from RNAcentral.